This is an RNA transcript of Nomascus leucogenys (northern white-cheeked gibbon), 2296 nucleotides long. It is a transcript of the gene named 40S ribosomal protein S12 pseudogene, with no coding region annotated. NCBI's taxonomy places the organism in Eukaryota, Metazoa, Chordata, Mammalia, Primates, Hylobatidae. The record is from RefSeq and is a predicted model, not a curated record. The transcript has a single exon.
UGAACCAUGGAGCCAGUGAUGCCUCAUGAUCUUAAAGGCUUCAGUGUGUAAUUUCUACAAACAAGGACAUUCUUUUACUUAACCACAACACAGUGAUCAAAACCAGGAAAUUAACACUGAUAUAUUACCAUCUAACCCACGGACCCCGUUCAAGUUGCCAGUUGUCCCAUCAAUGUCCUUCAUAGUCAAGUGCUCACAUUGCAUUUCGUUAUGUCUCUUUAGUCUCCAUCACUCUUAAAAGUUUCUUUCUUGACUUUAAUUACUUUAACAUUUUUGAAUACUUCAGGUCAGUUAUUUUGUAGACUGUUCCUCAAAGAACAGGGUUCUUUGGGUUUGCCUGAUGUUUCCUUUUUAUUAGAUUCAGAUUGUACCUUUUUGGCAAGAACACCACAAAAAAGAGAUUGUCUUCUUGCAUCUUAUCAGGUGUCACACAGUUUUGAUUUGUCCAGUUGCUGGUUGGGGCUUUGGUCAAUUGAUUAGGUAUUAUCACUAGGCUUCUCCACUUUUACGGUUAUUCUUUUUUCCCCUUUUAAUUAAUAAGUAUCUUGUAGAGAGAUCAUCCAACUUUCACUCACUAGUUUUAGCAUCCAUUGAAGAUUUUCACCUGAAUCAAUCAGUACCACAAUGAUUGCCAAAUGCAGAUUUUCUAAUUCCAUCAUUCCAUUUACAUUAGUUGGUUGGCAUUACCCUAAAAGGUAGAGCUUUCCCUUCUCUCCAAUUUAUUCAUUGAUUUAUAUCAUGUGGACUUGUGGCUUAUUUUAUUUGAGAAGUUGUAAGUUGUUCAUUUGGCCAGUGGCGGCCCCUUCAAGCUGGCUUCUGUGUCCUUUGGUAUGUCCCCAUCAUUCUUGGAGCAUGUUCUUACUUUCUAAUACAAAAAGACACUCCAUGCUCAUCUUUGUAUUUCCUCUGCACUAACUCUGCAAGAGGCUUUUUCUCUAAGAUCUGGUCUCUUUUAGCAGAAAAUCGUAUUUAGAAACCAAGAUCUGAGCAGUAGGUAUGCUCAUUGUUUGGUGCCAUUGCUGUUCCCAAGCCCUCUCAUGGAGGAACAAAGCUAGGGAACAAACAUGAAUGCAUGUGCAUGCACACACACACACACCCCACUCAUACACACACACCUGUACAUCUCUGUAUCUACACAUACUGAAAGCUGUAAGAGUUUAUACCAGUACUUCCAAUUCCAACCUUAUUCUAUUUCCAAAUUUGUAAUUCUCUUCUCUGACUAUAAGAAAUCUGGCUCCUGCUCUUUCCCUGCUGCCACCGAGUUGUAUAGAGGUGGAGUCUCGGGUGCAUUCAAGAUUCGGCUUUACUUGUAACCCACUGCCAUGGCCGAGGAAGGCAGUGCUGCUGGAGGUAUAAUGGACAUUAAUACUGUUUUACAGGAGGUGCUGAAGACUGCCCUCAUCCAUGAUGGCCUAGCAUGUGAAAUUUGCAAAGCUGCCAAAGCCUCAGACAAGUGCCAAGCCCAUCUUUGUGUGCUGUGUGUGCUUGCAUCCAACUGUGAUGAGCCUAUGUAUGUCAAGUUGGUGGAGGCCCUUUGUGCUGAACACCAAAUCAACCUAAUUAAGGUUGAUGACAAGAAACUAGAGGAAUGGGUAGGCCUCUGUAAAAUUGACAGAGAGGGGAAACCCCGUAAAGUGGUUGGUUGAAGUUGUGUAGUAGUUAAGAACUAUGGCAAGGAGUCUCAGGCCAAGGAUGUCAUUGAAGAGUACUUCAAAUGCAAGAAAUGAACAAAUAAAUCUUUGGCACACACACACACACACACACAUACAAAAGAAAGAAAAAAGAAAUUUGGCUCAGUCCUCCUCAAAAAUAAACAAUCUAUUGCUGCCUCAAUUCACAGUCCCCUCCCUGCUGCCCUCAGACGUUCUCCUCAGGCUCCACACUGCAGCCCUACACUAGGCCACUACCACUGCCCCCUGUGGUAACAUCUUUCUGCACUUUGUACAGAACAAGCAAAUGGCUUUUGUCCUGAAUUAUUCAGGAAGGGAGGGAGACAGGUGGGAAAGAAGUCAGGAAGGCAGAAAAUAAAAAUCUUUUGAUACCACAGAAAUACAAAGGAUCAAAAGAGACUAUUAGGAACAAUUAUAUGCCAACAAAUCGGAUUACCCUAGAAGUGGACAGAUUUCCAGAUGCAUACAACCUACCAAGAAUGAAUCAUAAACAGAAAAUCUAAACAGACCAAUAAAAGCAAAUAAGGGUCACCGUUACUCUGAGGAGAGGCCAGUAGGUAGAGAAGCAGUAAAACUUUUAACUUGGAGCAAAACCACACUCUAGGGAAACAUUAUUAGCAUCACCA